Molecule: long non-coding RNA, 201 nt
Filed under: Lathyrus oleraceus (garden pea)
Lineage: Eukaryota; Viridiplantae; Streptophyta; Magnoliopsida; Fabales; Fabaceae
Description: Pisum sativum (pea) long non-coding RNA (PSAT_LNC020173)
Source: RNAcentral
UCUUUUACAAACACAUGAUUCUUCUACCUUCGUGGAGUCCUACGGGAAUACCUCGGCCACUGGUGAAUGCCAAAACCGGUUAGUGGAGGCAAAGAAGAAAAAAGCGUAAAAGAAAGAAAAGAAAGGGCAGAAAAAGAAAAAGAAAAUGAGAAAAAAAUAAUGAGAAAGAUAUAGAAAAGACGGAGAAAAAAAAAAGAUACA